This 237-nucleotide ribosomal RNA is filed under the name uncultured Staphylococcus sp. RNAcentral's name for it is "partial 16S ribosomal RNA". It matches the Rfam family "Bacterial small subunit ribosomal RNA", at positions 103 to 334 of the family's 1533-position model. The record is from RNAcentral. Lineage: Bacteria; Bacillati; Bacillota; Bacilli; Caryophanales; Staphylococcaceae.
CGGGUGAGUAACACGUGGAUAACCUACCUAUAAGACUGGGAUAACCUCGGGAAACCGGAGCUAAUACCGGAUAAUAUUUUGAACCGCAUGGUUCAAAAGUGAAAGACGGUCUUGCUGUCACUUAUAGAUGGAUCCGCGCUGCAUUAGCUAGUUGGUAAGGUAACGGCUUACCAAGGCAACGAUGCAUAGCCGACCUGAGAGGGUGAUCGGCCACACUGGAACUGAGACACGGUCCAG